GCGCAUAGAGAGGGAGGCGCCUGGCUGAUGCUUCGGACACAUCUCCUGGCUUGGCAUCAGCUGCUUCUUCCGAUGCCCCAGAGCUGCCCACGGGGCCGGGGACGAGAGUCCUCCUUAGUCUCCGGCUGCCGUGUAGGUACAAAGUCCGCAGGGUCAGCGCACGGUCAGCGAGCAGCAGCAUCAGGCCAGCCUCUGUGUGAGCUUCAAUGCCUUUUUGAUAUCGUGGCAAUCAAAACCGGAUGCACUAUUCCAAGGUGGUGGUUAUCACCUUGGAAGCCUUGCCUGGCAUGGGUCUCAUCCCAUUGGGACCGGCCUGCCUCACCUCUGCACGUAGAGGACGAGGGAUGCUGCGGGCCCCGUCAAUCAAGGAAUUCCAGCUGGACGGGUCCAGAACGGCCUUCUGCUGCCAAGCCUUGUGCCCUCUGGAACAUCUUAUCUCCCCCCCCCCCCAAGUGAGAGCUCUCCCACCCUUCUGAUCUUCCUGGUUCUUCGGCCAGUUGUCUUGGGGCCCCAAUGACGGAGCAUCACACCGGAGGCAAUUGAUCAACUAAUAGCAGUUCCCACGUCCCCUCCUGUAUAUUCUCUUUCGUCCCUCCCCAUCUUUGGCAAUAACGCGUCUUUUAUUGCAGUGUUAAUGUGACUUUAUACAUUUUUUCAUAUAUUUAUGGUUUCACGAAGGAUGGCGAAUCGACCUGUCCCAGGAUAAUGUUGCAAGAGCUAAUAUGGGUCGGACACCAGGAUCGGAGGUUUUAGUCUUCCGAGUUGACGGAUUUGUGCUGGUACCCCAUCCUCAGGGAAUUGUCUCUCACUCCUGGAAUAUUUAUGGCUUCGUUUCAAUGUUAUAAUCCAGCCCGAGGCAGCCUUUUGACGAAACGGGCGGCCAAUCAAUUUAAUAAGUACAAUAAAUAAAAUAUUUUAACAUUUAA
Crotalus tigris (Tiger rattlesnake) is the source of this 926-nucleotide long non-coding RNA. RefSeq lists it as uncharacterized. NCBI's taxonomy places the organism in Eukaryota, Metazoa, Chordata, Lepidosauria, Squamata, Viperidae. The transcript has 2 exons. The record is from RefSeq and is a predicted model, not a curated record.